UGUUGAUUAUGAUUUUCAAAUACGGUUUUAUCCAAGGCAUAGUUUUGGGCCCAGGUGACAUUUCCCCAUCCUGCACUCCAGCUGGAUUCUUCAUUAGCCUCUGCAUUCAUUCCCUAGGGCUGCUGUGAAAGAUGACCACAAACUAGGUGGCUUAAAACAACAAAAAUUUAUUCUCUCACAGUUCUGGAGGCCAUAAGUUUGAAAUCAAGGUGCCAGCAGGGUUGGUUCCUUCUGGAGGAGCCUAUGAAGGAGGCUUCCAUUCUUUUCUUCUUUGCAUGUCUUCUCUUCUUAGGAAGACACCAGCCACUGGAUUCAGAGUCUACCCCAAUCCGGUAUGACCGCAUGUUAAGUGGGAACAUUAGCAGAGACUCCAUUUCCAAAUAAGGUUACAUUCUGAGGUGCUGGGUGGACAUGAAUUAUUUCGGGCAACCAUUCAGCCCAUUGCGGUCUCUCUGCCUUCGGACUCCUCUUUCUACCUGUCCAUGCCAUGGACCCUGUGGGAGUCAUUUUUUUUAACCUUCCUGUAGUGGAACCACCCCACCCCUGCUUUCAAGCCCUUCAAGGACUCCCCACUGCCAACAGAAUAAAGUCUUAUCUCUUUAGCUCAACUUAUGGAGACUCACCAUAGUCUGGCCCCUAUGAUCUUUUCUACAUUCCAUUUCUCCAUUUCUCCUACACACUCCCUACCAUCCCUGGGAAAGGUCUUCUAUGUUGUUGAACAUGCUGUGGAUGCUCUUUUCUCCUUCCUCCUUCUGUCUAUUGCUGAGACGCUCUUUUUCUCGAACACCCGUGUCAUAUAUCUUUCCUUGUUCAUGAGGACGUUUCUAGCCAGCCCAUGUCAAAGGGCUCACCUCUCUCCACAGACCAACCCUAGCCCACACGGUGCACCAUUCCUCAGUCUGUAGUGUGGCUGUCCUCUACUGGUGACAUUUCCAUUUUCCAUUUCCAUUUUACCCAGGGGCAAGCCUGUGUGCUAUACUUCUUUGGGUCCUUGGUUUUGACAAUGGUGUUCGGAACAGGUGGCUUCAUGGUCAAUGAUUUUGUAUGCUGCUGCUGGUGUGAGCAUGCUGAAUUGCUCCAUGCCUGCAGCUCCCUCUAAAACUGAUGGAGAGCCCUGUGCUGAGAUGAAAUGGGGGGAAAGGAGAAAUUUGUUGCCACUUUGAGAGUCAAAGGCAGUGGUCUUUCCAAGGAAGAGUGAACUAGCAGAAUCACUGCAGGAGAAGCAAAUUCUGGAGGCUGGAUGCCAAGAGGUGCUGUAAGAAAAGUUGUAAAGAUAUAUGUGGGGGAAACCACUGCUCCCAUCCCCCUUGGGAGACAAUUGGUAAACAAUAUAGUUGGCAAAGGAUAGGGACUGGGAGGGAAGUAAAAGAGGAGACAGAGUACAAUGAACAGAAUAGAUGCCAAUGGCCUUAUCAGCUUUAACAGAUGAUCUGAAAACUUUAAAGUAACAAGGAAGUUUUUAUUCCCAUAAUUGUUAGUAGUGUCUUUUGCUAGCUCCUCCGAUGUGACAGUGAUUGACCAUUGGCAGCUGGGUCUUCAAACUCUCUUCUAAAAUGUUGCAUCUCUAUGGGGACACAUGAGGAACUUAGUUCUUCUAUCUGGAAGUAGGUGUCCUCUAAGAGUUCUUGUGUUGUGUACUCUGUAUCCUUUUUUUUUUUUUUUGGACUAUGUCUCAGUUGCAUCAAAGCCCCAUUAACAUUGCCCUUUGGGAUCAAAAAGUAGUCCACCCGAGAAGAAAGAGUAGAGUUUUAGAGAACUGGGGUGAGAAUUCUGGGCAGAUGGCCAAGGUGUGGGCUCCAGGCUGAGCUUGCUGACACAUGACAUUGUAUGUUUCAGGUACUGGGACAAGUUUUCAAUGUCAAAAUCUUUGAAGCCACCAGGGCCUUUUUUGUUUUUGUUUUUUGGCUAGGUCUUGGCAGUACUCCUUCAUAUAGUAGUAGGUUCAGAAACUCAGGCUAAGGAAAGCAUCCAGAAAACAUUGUCUGCCUCUGCAACAGUUUGUGGAUAGCUUGUAAUUGUAGUUCUGAUCUUGUCAAUCUGUCUUAUAACUCUAAAUGUGUGGUCUCACCUGGCUAGAUACAGAAAAUACCUAUCUUCUUAUAGAAGCAGGCAAUCCUCAACCCCAUUAAAAAAGUAUGGUUUCUUGGACAUUCCAUCUAAUAGGAAUGCCAGUUUGCCUCCUGAUAUGUUGCCAGUCUGGCCAUUUCAGCAGUCACUAUUCAGCACUAGAGGAGGACUUCAGUAAAAGUUCCUUUGUCAGUAAGUCUUCCACGCAACAUAUUUGUUUCCAGGUCCUAAUGGCAAUUCCUCAGGAUCUGGAGAAAAAAAAAAAAAAAAAAAAAGAAAAGGAUCAACUCUCACGUUUGAGUUUGUCCCAUUCAUCUACAUAAAGACUAUCUAUCAGUUUGAAGUGUCUUUUUGAGAAUCAGAAAGGGGAGAGGAUAUAGGGGGCAAAGGAUGUAUUCUUUGAGAUCCUGCUCUUAAGCAGUGAUUCUUCUCUAGCACUCCUUAUUUCUAGAAUUUUCUAGCCAUCUCUAACAAAAGCAAAGUGCAAAGAGCAUUUAAUACAAACCAAAACAUGAAAUGAUCUUUUGAUAGUUCAGUGUUGUGGCUGUGACUUGGAAUUUUUCACUACAUUUAAAAAAAAAAAAGCCACAUAUGCCCGGGUAGUCUCUGCAUCAAGUCUGAUACCAUUGCUCCGACGUUAUGAGGCUGAAGCAGUUGUGGCUGAUUGAUGUCACUCUUCUAGCCAUCUCCUAUUUCCACAGAGAGAGGCCGGGUUAAUCCAACUCCAGUCUAACUUCGGAGGCAUCAAGGAUUCUAGGCAGCAUCUCCCGUGUUUCUUUUUCCAAGUGAAUUCCUGGAGGAAAACAAUGAGGUCCAUGUGUCUUUGCAUCCCCAGGGACCAGCUCAGUAAUGGGCGUAUAAGAACACGCUGAAAAAAAUUGUUUUGUUUUUGAACGACAGCGAUUUAAGAGUAGUAAGGUCCUCGUAAAUAUAGGACAUUGUACUCGUGUUUUUCUUCCGAGCAUACAAAUAUUUGCAAUGAGGUUGCACCGCAGACUCCACAGCCAUUGUGGCACCUGGGGCUCUGUGACUUGGGAGGCAGAGGAGAUGGAAUGCCGGUGAGAAGAAGGAGAUUGUGGUGUGAAUGUGAGGGAUGAGGGUGAAUUAGCUUCCUACGGCGGCUGUUACAAGUUUACCACAAGAUAAAUGAGUUAAAACAGUACAGAUUUAUUAUCUCACAGUUCUGGAAGACAGAAGUUCAAACUACUGGCAAAGUUCAAAGUGUUGGCAAGGCUGUGCUCCUCAGGAGGCUCUAGAGGAGAACCUUUUUCUUGCCUUUUCCUGUUUCUAGGGGCCACCGGCAUCCUUCGGCUCAUGGCCUCUUCCUCCAUCUUAAAAGCCAGCUUCUGCAAAUUCGUCUCUAAUUCUGACACUACUUCUCUUGCCUCCCUCUCUCACUUAUAGGGGUCCCUGUGAUGACAGUAAGCUCACCCUGAUAAUCGAGGCUAAUCUCCCCAUCUUAGGGUUAGCCUAUUAGCAACCUAAAUUCCACCGGCAACUUUAAUUCCCCCCUUGCCAUGCACCGUGACAUAUUCACAGGUUCUGGGGAGGAGGGCAUGAGCAUCUUUGUCGGGGCAUUGUUCUGUCCAUCACAGAGAAGCACUCAGAGAUUCCGGACUCCAGUAUCCUCAUUGUACACUUGAGGAAGCUUGGGCUCAGAGGCUUUAUGUUAAUUCCAACAGUUUUUGCAACAGGAGGAGGAGAAUAUCUGUCCAGGAGCCCUAAUCAAGACUCAGCAGGAAGCUGGUGGCUUCCUUUCCUUCCUUCUUUUGCUUCCUUCCUGUUCUUCCUGUGCUUCCUUUCAGUUCUUCCUUCUACAUAUGGGGCCCAUCACAUUCCCACUGACUCAGAUGCUGAGGGGCCAGACUGAAGGGACAGUGGCCAUUGCAUCAAGUCAGAGAACGGAUCUGACCCAUCUAGUAGAAGCUUAUUGUUUUGGCAGAAGCACAAGCUCUUAGAGGUGCAGCUGCAGGGUGUGACCUAUUGGGGACAUUGAGCUCAGUGACCAUGGGCCCUGAGAGUCUGAAAUCCUGGAAUUUCUCCCAAAACGAAGUCCAUGUAGGGAAGCCAAAGUGUGAGUCUUACCCGGCUGGUUUACAACUGACUGACAUUUGCUGCCUGGGCAGCUGUUGUGGGUGCCUGGAAACCCUAUUGGACUAGGACUGGCCCCGGCAAAAAACAAGUGUUAUAGCUGCCCAGUGUCCUCUGAGUGGAUGCUGGUGAUUCUGGUAUGGAGCCCAGAUGUAAGGCAGCAGGUGGUCCAGAAGGCACCAGAAGAGGUCUCCUGUCAAAGUCAGGGCCAGAGAAGAAGGCACAGGGAACCUACUGCACGAGACUUUCACUUGCAACGAGCAACCCAUGAUGAGGAGGGAGGAUUCCUGGGGGCAUUGAGUCCCCCAGACACAAGGACCCAAGACCUUCUUGCUUGGAAAGUGAAUUCCUCAGAAUUCCGAGAUGAUGCCAGUCUUGGAGGAAGAUGACAUGAGGACCCAAAACCUUCUUGCUUGGAAAGUGAAUUCCUGAGAAUUCCGAGAUGAUGCCAGUCUUGGAGAAAGAUGACAUGAGGACCCAAAACCUUCUUGCUUGGAAAGUGAAUUCCUCAAAACUCCACAAAGACUCCAGUCUUGGAGGAAGAUGACAUGAGGACCCAAAACCUUCUUGCUUGGAAAGUGAAUUCCUCAGAACUCCACGAAGACUCCAGUCUUGGAGGAAGACGAGGUGUUGAGAGAUAGCUGGGAUCCCUGAGGAAGGCAGCCCCAGUCUCCGGUGGAGAAUUAAGAGGGGCCCAAGCAGAUGGUUGGUGGUGGAAACGUCACCUCAGUAUAGUACUAUGGAGUUUCCUUUCACCCCCAACAGCCGACGGUUUCCAGGGGCGAAGAGUGAAAAUUGAAGCAAGGUGUCUACUGUCCAGCGGUAGACAAGGAGGCAGUGCGCCUGCCACCCCCAAGGAAGAGUCAGUUCAGAAGCACAGCAGCUGCUGGAAACCCAGGAGGUUUCCAGUUCGUUCCUGCUGGGACCUGGCAAGAACUGCACUGUCAAGGCUGCAAGAGGCUCCUGACGGCUUCUGACAUGUACAGAAUGGAAUAAGAGAACCUAGCAGAAAUGGAAGCAGAGGCAAGAGUUCUAGAGGCUGUGAGUCUGAGAUCAGGGUCUGGAGGCCAGGAAAAUGUCAAUGGAAAGCAGCUAGCAUGAAGACCCCACAGUGUUCCUCCCUCUAGUAGUCUGGUAUUAUUUGGAGCUGAGAUGCUCCCAAUAUGGUUGGGACAUUUGUCCCCUCCAAAUCUCAUGUGAGAAUUUGAUCCCCCAUUUUGGGGAUGGGGUCUAAUGGGAGGAGUUUGGGUCAUGACGGGGGACCCCUCAAGAAUGGCUUUGUGCCCUGCUCACCAGGAAUGAAUGAGCUCUCACUCUACUAGUUCACUGGAGAGCUGGUUUUUUAAAGAGCCUGGCGUCUCCCCAACUUUCUCUCUUGCUCCCCCUUCUCACUGUGUGAUAUACCUGCUCCCCUUUGCCAUCCAUCAUGAGUGGAAGCUUCUUGAAGCCUCCACCUAAAGCAGAUGCCGACACUAUGCUUCCUGCACAGCCUGCCAUACCAUGAGCCAAUAAACCUGUUUUCUU
Molecule: long non-coding RNA, 5682 nt
Filed under: Homo sapiens (human)
Lineage: Eukaryota; Metazoa; Chordata; Mammalia; Primates; Hominidae
Description: long non-coding RNA NONHSAT171935.1
Source: RNAcentral